UGGGGAAUCUUGCGCAAUGGGCGAAAGCCUGACGCAGCAACGCCGCGUGAGGGAUGAAGGUCUUCGGGUUGUAAACCUCUUUCAAGCAGGGACGAUAAUGACGGUACCUGCAGAAGAAGCUCCGGCCAACUACGUGCCAGCAGCCGCGGUAAUACGUAGGGAGCGAGCGUUGUCCGGAAUCAUUGGGCGUAAAGGGCUCGUAGGCGGCUUGGUAAGUUAGAUGUGAAACCUCCAGGCUCAACCUGGAGUCGCCAUCUAAUACUGCCAUGGCUAGAGUCUGGUAGGGGUCUACGGAACUCCUGGUGUAGCGGUGAAAUGCGCAGAUAUCAGGAAGAACACCGGUGGCGAAGGCGGUAGACUGGGCCAGUACUGACGCUGAUGAGCGAAAGCGUGGGGAGCGAACAGGAUUAGAUACCCCCGUAGUCC
Molecule: ribosomal RNA, 426 nt
Filed under: uncultured bacterium
Lineage: Bacteria
Description: bacterial SSU rRNA
Rfam family: Bacterial small subunit ribosomal RNA
Source: RNAcentral